This 350-nucleotide ribosomal RNA is filed under the name uncultured bacterium. RNAcentral describes it as "bacterial SSU rRNA". It matches the Rfam family "Bacterial small subunit ribosomal RNA", at positions 8 to 349 of the family's 1533-position model. The record is from RNAcentral.
AGAGUUUGAUCAUGGCUCAGGAUGAACGCUAGCUACAGGCUUAACACAUGCAAGUCGAGGGGAAACGACAUCGAAAGCUUGCUUUUGAUGGGCGUCGACCGGCGCACGGGUGAGUAACGCGUAUCCAACCUGCCCAUCACUUGGGGAUAACCUUGCGAAAGUAAGACUAAUACCCAAUGACGUCUCUAGAAGACAUCUGAAAGAGAUUAAAAGAUUUAUCGGUGAUGGGUGGGGAUGCGUCUGAUUAGCUUGUUGGCGGGGUAACGCCACAAGGCGACGAUCAGUAGGGGUUCUGAGAGGAAGGUCCCCCANAUUGGAACUGAGACACGGUCCAAACUCCUACGGGAGCA